This 524-nucleotide ribosomal RNA is filed under the name uncultured bacterium. Its description in RNAcentral is "bacterial SSU rRNA". It matches the Rfam family "Bacterial small subunit ribosomal RNA", at positions 355 to 891 of the family's 1533-position model. The record is from RNAcentral.
CUAGGAAUAUUGGGCAAUGGGCGCAAGCCUGACCCAGCAACACCGCGUGGAGGACGAAGGCCUUCGGGUCGUAAACUCCUUUUUGGGGGGAUGAGAAAGGACAGUACCCCCAGAAUAAGGCCCGGCUAACUACGUGCCAGCAGCCGCGGUAAUACGUAGGGGCCAAGCGUUUAUCCGGAUUUACUGGGCGUAAAGCGCAUGUAGGUGGUCUAUUAAGUCGGACGUGAAAGCUCCUGGCUCAACUAGGUGAGGUCGUUCGAACUAAAAGACUGGAGGAUGGUAGAGGAGAGCGGAAUUCCAGGUGUAGCGGUGAAAUGCGUAGAUAUCUGGAGGAACACCAAGUGGCGAAAGCGGCUCUCUGGCCCAUUCCUGACACUGAGAUGCGAAAGCCAGGGGGAGAGAACGGGGAUUAGAAACCCCGGUAUUCCUGGCCGUAAACGAUGUCAACUAGGCGUAGGAGGUUAUUGACCCCUUCUGUGCUGUAGCUAACGCGUUAAGUUGACCGCUGGGGACUACGGCCGCAA